RNAcentral lists this unclassified non-coding RNA (375 nucleotides) under uncultured Septoglomus. RNAcentral's name for it is "partial contains 5.8S ribosomal RNA, internal transcribed spacer 2, and large subunit ribosomal RNA". The stretch from base 1 to 102 matches the Rfam family "5.8S ribosomal RNA", at positions 53 to 154 of the family's 154-position model. The record is from RNAcentral. Lineage: Eukaryota; Fungi; Glomeromycota; Glomeromycetes; Glomerales; Glomeraceae.
AUGCGAUAUGUAGUGUGAAUUGCAGAGGUAUGUGAAUCAUCGAAUCUUUGAACGCAAAUUGCACUCUUUGGUAUUCCGAGGAGUAUGCCUGUUUGAGGGUCGCUUAACAAACAUCGAUUUUAUUGCUUUUUUAAAGUAAUUUUAUCGGAUUUGAGCCGUCUUUUUUAUAUAUAUAUUUAUUUAAAAGUGGCUUAAAAUUGAUUUUUUUCGGUAUGAUCGAAGCGUAUUUUAUGAUCAAUUUUUGGUUAAAGAAACGCAUACAUACCAUCAUCAUUCAUAUGAUGUAAUACGUUUGACUAUUGGAUUUAGUUCAUUCGUAUACGAUAUUUUUCAAAUUUUGACCUCAAAUCAGGUAAGAACACCCGCUGAACUUAA